This 370-nucleotide ribosomal RNA is filed under the name uncultured Cortinarius. RNAcentral's name for it is "eukaryotic LSU rRNA". It matches the Rfam family "Eukaryotic large subunit ribosomal RNA", at positions 1 to 373 of the family's 3401-position model. Lineage: Eukaryota; Fungi; Basidiomycota; Agaricomycetes; Agaricales; Cortinariaceae. The record is from RNAcentral.
GUGACCUCAAAUCAGGUAGGACUACCCGCUGAACUUAAGCAUAUCAAUAAGCGGAGGAAAAGAAACUAACAAGGAUUCCCCUAGUAACUGCGAGUGAAGCGGGAAAAGCUCAAAUUUAAAAUCUGGCGGCCUUUUUGCUGUCCGAGUUGUAAUCUAGAGAAGUGUUAUCCGCGCUGGACCGUGUACAAGUCUCCUGGAAUGGAGCAUCAUAGAGGGUGAGAAUCCCGUCUUUGACAUGGACUACCAGGGCUUUGUGAUGCGCUCUCAAAGAGUCGAGUUGUUUGGGAAUGCAGCUCUAAAUUCCAUCUAAAGCUAAAUAUUGGCCAGAGACCGAUAGCGUACAAGUAGAGUGAUCGAAAGAUGAAAAGCA